GAAAAGAUUGAAGAGUUCAAAAAAUUUGAAGAAUUCUCUACAAGUCACCCUCAACAUUUAAGGUGCUCUUCAAACAUCUAAGGGCCUCCACUAUGGGGGGUUCCCAAAUCUAUGUGUCAUGCUUUGGAACCGGUAGCACCAUAGUGGAGAAGAAUAAAUGGGGUACUACAAAGGAAAUGGGUACCAGCAGUGGGAGUCGGUUCUUGGCUGAUGCGGUGAGGUCCACAAUGCUUUGGGCGACGCGCGAGUGGAGAGAAACUCACCCUCAACACGCACAACUGGAGCCGGCUGAGCAGAAAGGCAGCUCCCCACAAUGCUUUUGUUUUUUUUUUCCCCCUUCUUGUUUCAAUUGUGCAUGUAUUCUCUUUUUUUGUGUGUAUUUAAAUUUGUGUUUUUUAAUUUUAGUUGUGUGUUGUAAGAAAUUAAUUUUCAAUAAAAUGUGCGUUUGAAUUUUAA
RNAcentral lists this long non-coding RNA (456 nucleotides) under Salvia miltiorrhiza (redroot sage). RNAcentral describes it as "long non-coding RNA (SMIL_LNC010007)". Lineage: Eukaryota; Viridiplantae; Streptophyta; Magnoliopsida; Lamiales; Lamiaceae. The record is from RNAcentral.